RNAcentral lists this ribosomal RNA (322 nucleotides) under uncultured bacterium. RNAcentral's name for it is "bacterial SSU rRNA". It matches the Rfam family "Bacterial small subunit ribosomal RNA", at positions 30 to 349 of the family's 1533-position model. The record is from RNAcentral.
AUUGAACGCUGGCGGCACGCCUAACACAUGCAAGUCGAGCGGUAGCAUGGGUAGUAGCAAUACUACCUGAUGACGAGCGGCGGACGGGUGAGGAACACGUGGGAAUCUACCCUCAAGCGGGGGACAACUAAGGGAAACUUUAGCUAAUACCGCAUAAUCUCGAAAGAGUAAAGUUAGCCGUAAGGUGGACACUUGAGGAGGAGCCUUCGUCCGAUUAGCUAGUUGGUAGGGUAAAGCCUACCAAGGCGAUGAUCGGUAACUGGUCUGAGAGGACGACCAGUCACACUGGGACUGAGACACGGCCCAGACUCCUACGGGAGGC